This 894-nucleotide non-coding RNA is filed under the name Ixodes scapularis (black-legged tick). Its description in RNAcentral is "Eukaryotic large subunit ribosomal RNA". It matches the Rfam family "Eukaryotic large subunit ribosomal RNA", at positions 1623 to 2337 of the family's 3401-position model. Lineage: Eukaryota; Metazoa; Arthropoda; Arachnida; Ixodida; Ixodidae. The record is from Rfam by way of RNAcentral.
UCCUUCGGGGCCCUGUGCGGUAACGCAAACCAGCUCGGAGACGCCGAUGCGAGCCCCGGGAAGAGUUUUCUUUUCUCUGUAAGGAUAUCGAGUCCCUGGAAUGGGUUCGCCCCGAGAUAGGGAUGGUGGCUCCGUAGAGCAGUGCGGUUCUUGCGCUGUCCGGUGCGCUCGCGUCGGCCCUUGAAAAUCCGAGUGAGGGAGUGUGAUUUUCGUGCCGGACCGUACCCACAUCCGCAGCAGGUCUCCAAGGUGAACAGCCUCUAGUCGAUGGACCAAUGUAGGUAAGGGAAGUCGGCAAAACGGAUCCGUAACCUUGGGAUAAGGAUUGGCUCUGAGGACUGAGCCGGUCGGGCUGGGGACCUGAAGCAGGAACGGCACUGCACCGGGACUGGGCGGGGCUCGCCGUUCACGCGGCGCGGCCAAGCCCGGACCAGCGUCGGGACCUUCCUGUGGAAAGCCUCAGCUGCGCGGCGUCUGAGGGCUUCGUGCCCAAAGUGCUAUGCUUCGGCCGGCAAAAAACAGUCAACUCAGAACUGGCACGGACCGGGGGAAUCCGACUGUCUAAUUAAAACAAAGCAUUGCGAUGGCCGCUGGUCGGUGUUGACGCAAUGUGAUUUCUGCCCAGUGCUCUGAAUGUCAACGUGAAGAGAUUCAUCAAAGCGCGGGUAAACGGCGGGAGUAACUAUGACUCUCUUGGGACACAGAAGUCCAUGCCGGCUGUUACCGCAUGGACAUGUGCCAACACCCACGUGCACGUCGUGUGUCCUGCCAGCCAAGGAGUUUGUGCUUCCUGUGCUGCAACGGGUGCUCUGGCUUCCUUUGGGCAUGUGGGUUGCCAUCCCACUUGCCUUUGUAUCUCUCGGCAUGACCAAUAAAAGGAAACACAAAAUUCGU